GGUUGAUCCUGCCAGUAUUAUAUGCUGAUGUUAAAGAUUAAGCCAUGCAUGUGUAAGUUUAAAGACCUAGUAGGAUGAAACUGCGGACGGCUCAUUAUAACAGUAAUAGUUUCUUUGGUUAGUAAGUACAAGGAUAACUUUGUGAAUGAUAAAGCUAAUACUUGAGACGAUCUGGGGAGUACUUGUACUUCUCGGCCGGUGGUCGCAAGGCUGCCGAGGAAUGACAUUCUCUUGUGAAAAAGGAUGCCACGACAAUUGAAGAAAGCGACGCUUUUUACAAGUAACCAAUGGG
Molecule: ribosomal RNA, 292 nt
Filed under: uncultured eukaryote
Lineage: Eukaryota
Description: partial 18S ribosomal RNA
Rfam family: Eukaryotic small subunit ribosomal RNA
Source: RNAcentral